This 321-nucleotide long non-coding RNA is filed under the name Brassica napus (rape). RNAcentral describes it as "long non-coding RNA (BNAP_LNC013760)". Lineage: Eukaryota; Viridiplantae; Streptophyta; Magnoliopsida; Brassicales; Brassicaceae. The record is from RNAcentral.
UAUACCAAGCCCCAAGACAAGCAGUUGUGUCAUGUUUAGUGUUGGAGGUCAGCUUUGGUUCCUUCAAAACAAUCUUAGCAAGAGUGGUUAGUUGACAUGUUGAUCCACUUUAGUAUCUAUUGUACUAUCUGCAAUCAGUAAGUCUAGAAUGGUGCUAAAGAGUUGUUAGAUGUCUUAGCAAAAUCUAUAAGUUCAUAAUACCUUUCUUCACCCAAUAAUAACUUAAUUUUGAAAACAAUUUUAAUAAAACUAAUAAGUAAAUAAAUAUCAGUAAACCUCCCCCCAGACUUAAACUACACUGUCCUCAGUGUGAAUUUAGUC